RNAcentral lists this ribosomal RNA (428 nucleotides) under Gemmatimonadota bacterium. RNAcentral's name for it is "Gemmatimonadetes bacterium partial 16S ribosomal RNA". It matches the Rfam family "Bacterial small subunit ribosomal RNA", at positions 356 to 776 of the family's 1533-position model. The record is from RNAcentral. Lineage: Bacteria; Pseudomonadati; Gemmatimonadota.
UAGGAAUCUUCGGCAAUGGACGAAAGUCUGACCGAGCAACGCCGCGUGAGUUAAGAAGGUUUUCGGAUCGUAAAAACCUGUUGGUAGAGAAGAACAAGGACGUUAGUAACUGAACGUCCCCUGACGGUAUCUAACCAGAAAGCCACGGCUAACUACGUUCCAGCAGCCGCGGUAAUACGUAGGUGGCAAGCGUUGUCCGGAUUUAUUGGGCGUAAAGCGAGCGCAGGCGGUUUCUUAAGUCUGAUGUGAAAGCCCCCGGCUCAACCGGGGAGGGUCAUUGGAAACUGGGAGACUUGAGUGCAGAAGAGGAGAGUGGAAUUCCAUGUGUAGCGGUGAAAUGCGUAGAUAUAUGGAGGAACACCAGUGGCGAAGGCGGCUCUCUGGUCUGUAACUGACGCUGAGGCUCGAAAGCGUGGGGAGCAAACAGG